Molecule: ribosomal RNA, 465 nt
Filed under: uncultured bacterium
Lineage: Bacteria
Description: partial 16S ribosomal RNA
Rfam family: Bacterial small subunit ribosomal RNA
Source: RNAcentral
GACGAACGCUGGCGGCGUGCUUAACACAUGCAAGUCGAACGGAAAGGCCCCUUUGGGGGUACUCGAGUGGCGAACGGGUGAGUAACACGUGAGUAACCUGCCCUUGACUUCGGGAUAACUUCAGGAAACUGGGGCUAAUACCGGAUAGGAAUCCUUGCUGCAUGGUGGGGGUUGGAAAGCUUCGGCGGUUUUGGAUGGACUCGCGGCUUAUCAGCUUGUUGGUGGGGUAGUGGCUUACCAAGGCUUUGACGGGUAGCCGGCCUGAGAGGGCGACCGGCCACAUUGGGACUGAGAUACGGCCCAGACUCCUACGGGAGGCAGCAGUGGGGAAUAUUGCACAAUGGGCGGAAGCCUGAUGCAGCAAAGCCGCGUGCGGGAUGACGGACUUCGGGUUGUAAACCGCUUUCAGCAGGGGCGAAGCUUGUGGUGACGGUACCUGCAGAAGAAGCACCGGCUAACUACGUG